UGGGGAAUUUUGGACAAUGGGGGAAACCCUGAUCCAGCCAUCCCGCGUGUGCGAUGAAGGCCUUCGGGUUGUAAAGCACUUUUGGCAGGAAAGAAACGCCAUGGGUUAAUACCCCGUGAAACUGACGGUACCUGCAGAAUAAGCACCGGCUAACUACGUGCCAGCAGCCGCGGUAAUACGUAGGGUGCAAGCGUUAAUCGGAAUUACUGGGCGUAAAGCGUGCGCAGGCGGUUCGGAAAGAAAGAUGUGAAAUCCCAGAGCUGAACUUUGGAACUGCAUUUUUAACUACCGGGCUAGAGUGUGUCAGAGGGGGGUGAAAUUCCGCGUGUAGCAGUGAAAUGCAUAUAUAUGAGGGGGAACCCCGAUGGCGAAGGCAGUCUCCAGGGAUAACACUGACGCUCAUGCACGAAAGCGUGGGGAGCAAACAGG
RNAcentral lists this ribosomal RNA (429 nucleotides) under Acidobacteriota bacterium. RNAcentral describes it as "Acidobacteria bacterium partial 16S ribosomal RNA". It matches the Rfam family "Bacterial small subunit ribosomal RNA", at positions 355 to 776 of the family's 1533-position model. Lineage: Bacteria; Pseudomonadati; Acidobacteriota. The record is from RNAcentral.